AGUGAACGCUGGCGGUAGGCCUAACACAUGCAAGUCGAACGGCAGCACAGUAAGAUCUUGCACUAACGGGGGGCGAGUGGCGGACGUGAGAGGAAGACAUCGGAAUCUACAUUUUCGUGGGGGAUAAGGUAGGGAAACUUACGCUAAUACAGCAUACUACCUCCGGGUGAAAGCAGGGGAACUUCUGUCCUUGCGGGAUUGGAUGAGCCCGUGUCGGAUUAGCUGGUUGGCGGGGGGAUGGCCCACCAAGGCGACGACCGGUAGCUGGCCUGAGAGGGUGAUCGGCCACAUUGGGACUGAGAUACGGCCCAGACUCCUACGGGAGGCAGCAGUGGGGAAUAUUGCACAAUGGGCGGAAGCCUGAUGCAGCGACGCCGCGUGAGGGAUGACGGCCUUCGGGUUGUAAACCUCUUUCAGCAGGGACGAAGCGUAAGUGACGGUACCUGCAGAAGAAGCACCGGCUAACUAUGUG
This 472-nucleotide ribosomal RNA is filed under the name uncultured bacterium. RNAcentral describes it as "partial 16S ribosomal RNA". It matches the Rfam family "Bacterial small subunit ribosomal RNA", at positions 30 to 507 of the family's 1533-position model. The record is from RNAcentral.